CCUACGGGAGGCAGCAGUGGGGGAUAUUGCACAAUGGGGGGAACCCUGAUGCAGCGACGCCGCGUGGGUGAAGAAGCGCCUCGGCGCGUAAAGCCCUGUCAGCAGGGAAGCAAAUGACGGCACCUGAAGCAGAAGCCCCGGCUGACUACGUGCCAGCAGCCGCGGUAAUCCGGCGGGGGCAAGCGUUAUCCGGAUUUACUGGGUGUAAAGGGGGCGGAGACGGGGAUGCAGGGCAGGAGUGAAAACGCGGGGGCCAAACCCGGGAGUGCGGUUGGAACUGGGUGGCUGGAGUGCAGGAGGGGUAGGCGGAAUGCCUGGUGUAGCGGUGAAAUGCGUAGAUAUCAGGAGGAACACCGGUGGCGAAGGCGGCCUGCUGGACUGCAACUGACGUUGAGGCACGAAAGCGUGGGGAGCGAACAGGAUUAGAUACCCGAGUAGUC
RNAcentral lists this ribosomal RNA (440 nucleotides) under uncultured bacterium. Its description in RNAcentral is "partial 16S ribosomal RNA". It matches the Rfam family "Bacterial small subunit ribosomal RNA", at positions 338 to 795 of the family's 1533-position model. The record is from RNAcentral.